UAGGGAAUCUUCCACAAUGGACGCAAGUCUGAUGGAGCAACGCCGCGUGAGUGAAGAAGGUUUUCGGAUCGUAAAGCUCUGUUGUUGGUGAAGAAGGAUAGAGGCAGUAACUGGUCUUUAUUUGACGGUAAUCAACCAGAAAGUCACGGCUAACUACGUGCCAGCAGCCGCGGUAAUACGUAGGUGGCAAGCGUUGUCCGGAUUUAUUGGGCGUAAAGCGAGCGCAGGCGGAAUGAUAAGUCUGAUGUGAAAGCCCACGGCUCAACCGGGGAAAUGCAUCGGAAACUGUCAUUAUUGAGUGCAGAAGAGGAGAGUGGAAUUCCAUGUGUAGCGGUGGAAUGCGUAGAUAUAUGGAAGAACACCAGUGGCGAAGGCGGCUCUCUGGUCUGCAACUGACGCUGAGGCUCGAAAGCAUGGGUAGAGAACAGG
RNAcentral lists this ribosomal RNA (429 nucleotides) under bacterium. RNAcentral describes it as "partial 16S ribosomal RNA". It matches the Rfam family "Bacterial small subunit ribosomal RNA", at positions 355 to 776 of the family's 1533-position model. The record is from RNAcentral.